AUCAUUUCUUUACAUCUUCCUUCCAUCUUCCCACCGCGCACUUCUCUCUCUCUCUCUCUCUCUCUCUCUCUCUCCGCUGUGGUCAUCCGACGGCCGAUCGCCUCCAUUCAUAGCCGCUGGCGGACCAAGCCUAGUCACCGCUUCAUCGCCUGCGAGGCGGACUGAGAUCUUGCGCGUUUCGGAGUACCUUUUGAUUGUGGAGGGAAGAACAAACUAAAGCUCAGACAUGAGAAAAAAGAAAAAGGAUUGGUGUGUAAGAAUGGCAGAAAAGGCAAAUCAGGUAUGGUGUUGUGUUUUAUUCGGUAUGGGCGGCAUAGGAAAUAAAGUUAUUUUUGGAGUAAAAAGGCGAAGCACUUUCCAAUGUUUGGUUCGAUUGAAGAAAGUUUUCUCACUCAUAAGUUCAAUCUGAGAAUGUUAAGAUUGAUAUUUUUAUUGAACGAAGUGGGACAUACUCUACUUGGGAAUGGUGCUGAGAAAUUAUGAAUUUUUAUACAAGUAACGAUCUAGAAAAUCACCUCUUGGUAAGGAAAGAUAAUGAGGCAUUCACAUACAUAAAAGGUUUUUAUAUAAUUUAUGAAUUCAUCUAUAUCUUUGACAUGUGAUGAGGAUCAACAUACACCUCGAGUUUCUUUUAGGAACAUUGUCAUGCGUGGGUGAUCUUUUCGAAGUCCACUAUUAGAUGUGAAUCUUAAUUGCAGUAAUUGAAGACCUUAUUUACAGCAAUUGAAGCUUCUCUUGGAAGUUAGCUUGAAAACUUACAAGUCAAAGAAUUUUAAUAGCAGCAAUUGAAGAAUUUAUUUACAACAAUUGAAGAUUCUCUUCGAAGUAAGUUUUGAAACUUGCAAGUCAAAAAAUUUUAAUUGCAGUAAUUGAAGAUUUUAAUUGUAGCAAUUGAAGUUUCUCUUGAAAGCUAAGAGGAUGACGACUUGCAAAUCAAAAUGUCUUGUUUUUUUUAUGUUACUUUUGUGUUUCUUUAAUUUUUUAAGAAGUCAUGUGCAAGUCAUAAGCAUGCUCAUGUAAGACCUUAAAUAUGUCAUCACUUGUAUUGUAAAGAAGGAAUUGCAUUAUCAAUUAAAAAGAAGUCUUUGUUUAAA
This is a long non-coding RNA of Malania oleifera, 1094 nucleotides long. RefSeq lists it as uncharacterized. The transcript is spliced from 5 exons. Lineage: Eukaryota; Viridiplantae; Streptophyta; Magnoliopsida; Santalales; Ximeniaceae. The record is from RefSeq and is a predicted model, not a curated record.